CCCAAAUCCUCCAAAUCAAAGUAUACACUCUUGUCACCAUAUUUGGCAACUACAGAACAAGCCCUGAAUUUAGUGCGGUUAAAAUUGAGACGAGAUGAUUUGAGAUGAAGCUUAGUUCCAGUGAUUGAACUUCCAGCUAGGCCCUUGAUGUUGGUAGUUGGCUGCACUGCAGCAAGGGUUGCCAAAGAUGCCAUGGCUUUUCACUUCAACAAACUAAACAGAAACUACUACUUUCAGACUUCAAAUUUUGGGCUGGCAAUUGGCACAAAUGUCGAUACGUUUCGGUUUUUGAUCUUUU
This 298-nucleotide unclassified non-coding RNA is filed under the name Hevea brasiliensis (rubber tree). Lineage: Eukaryota; Viridiplantae; Streptophyta; Magnoliopsida; Malpighiales; Euphorbiaceae. The record is from RNAcentral.